UGAAUUGAACAGAUGAUGGUGUAGAAGA
RNAcentral lists this non-coding RNA (28 nucleotides) under Bombyx mori (domestic silkworm). Lineage: Eukaryota; Metazoa; Arthropoda; Insecta; Lepidoptera; Bombycidae. The record is from RNAcentral.